UAUUGUCAUUUCAAAACUUACCAAGUUCUUUUGUUAUCGCUUCCUUUCAAGUCCAUAAAAGCAGCUUUGUUACUGCACUUGAAUGCUUAUUAUUUUGUAAAAGUAUCCAGCUGAAGUACAAACUCCCUAAUACUUCUGAGUUGAAGAGGAAAUUAUCAUUAAGUCCUAAGGUAGUGACCUUUCCUAUACUAGAAGUUUGAGGAGCAAACGAGUAUUUCAUAGCUUCUAUGGAAAUCUUGGUUUGUCUUACAAGUUGUGAUCAAAGAAUCUCAAGAUGAUUCACCUUGAAUUUUGGUCUUUUUGGAUGAAACGUAAUUCAUUAGUUAAUUCUUCAUUGGAAAUUAUUCCCCUUAUCCAACUUCAAAUAAUUCUGAAAUGUUAUUGGUUCUGUUGUUGAUGAUGCUCUUCAAGUAGAGUUUACUUUGGGUCAUCUCUGACCUACUGGUUCCUUCUACAAUCAACUGUUGGUGAUGCUCUUCAACUAGAGUUUACCAACACUUUGAGUCAUCUCUUGCACUCUGGUGAUGGUUAUGCUUUGCUCAAUGCCAUUCUUCGACCAAAAUGAUAACUUUAUCAUGAUUCUCAGUUGUAUGAAAAUGUAAAAUCUCCUCCUUCUAGAAGAAGAAGUUGUGCUCUACAGGGUAGUAGUUCUGGACAAUCUACUUCUACGAACGUUUUUGGAGUACUUUCAUGUGAUACCUCAUUAGUGGAGCAACUAAGGAGAGGGGGUUAUAAAAGAAUGAAAGGAAUGUUCGAUCUGGCUCUUGUUCUCCCCAGGUUUAUAGCACGCUAGGCUAGCUAAGAAAGGAUUCAAGUGAGUGGCUUCUUAAUGGAGUGAGAGCCAAAAAGGACUACAAGAUCUUUGACUGAGAGAUUAAAUGUGAGUGCAUGUCAAUGUCACACUUACCAGUACAUGUUUGUUUGGCAUCUGAACUCCUAUAUCUUGCAAUGUACUGUGAGUUUGGGUAGAGGAAGAAAACCUGAAUGGCUACCAACCGAUUAUCAGACUUUCAUGCAGGGCGUGCUAAUUUAAUUUGAAACAGGGAAGUCUUGAACCGGAAAGAAUCAAAAUUGAUAAGUAUGUCCCCAAAUUCCAAAUACAGGAGGCAAUUCAUUAGAAGAGUGUUGAGCACCAAAUACCAUUUGUAGUUGUUUUGUCAAAUUAACUCAGGUGGACAUCGGUUCUAUUUUUGGUCCGAUGGAGAGGAUACAAUGCAAAGACAAUCCAGCUAACAAAUGUAUGAUUCUAUUAGAAGACCACCUAUUAGGGAAUGGCCUAUAGUGCGCCUUCAUAGCGGUAUUGCUUUAGUAAGCAUUAUUUGGAUUCAUAACAGGUUUAUCUUGCUACCGUACUAUAACAAAUUUGUUCAAAGACAGAUAAAAGAAUGCGUCAGCUACAUACUAGGUGCUGGCACGAGCUA
Nicotiana tabacum (common tobacco) is the source of this 1421-nucleotide long non-coding RNA. RefSeq lists it as uncharacterized. The record is from RefSeq and is a predicted model, not a curated record. Lineage: Eukaryota; Viridiplantae; Streptophyta; Magnoliopsida; Solanales; Solanaceae.